UACGGAAUGUGCAAACGUUAUUCGGAAUCACUGGGCUUAAAGAGUCCGUAGGCGGCUUGUUAGGUGAGGUGUGAAAUCCCCCGGCUCAACCGAGGAAUUGCGCUUCAAACCGGCGAGCUUGAGGAAGAUAGAGGUGGGCGGAACUGAUGGUGGAGCGGUGAAAUGCGUUGAUAUCAUCAGGAACACCGGAGGCGAAGGCGGCCCACUGGGUCUUUUCUGACGCUGAGGGACGAAAGCUAGGGGAGCGAAC
This 250-nucleotide ribosomal RNA is filed under the name uncultured bacterium. Its description in RNAcentral is "partial 16S ribosomal RNA". It matches the Rfam family "Bacterial small subunit ribosomal RNA", at positions 524 to 773 of the family's 1533-position model. The record is from RNAcentral.